GCUGCCCGGGACUCGAGCGCUGCGGGCGGCGGGGCUGCUGCGCCCGCCCAGGGCCGGGCCCCGCACCGGGGCCGCCCGCAGAGCGCACUGCGGGCCGGGACAGCGGCCGGAGGGGCGCGGGGCCGCGCUGCCCGCGGGGCCCGACCUGCGGCACUUUCUGAGGGCAGCGGCCAUGAGGGAGACGGGGCCACCGCCCGAGACGGGCUCUGCCCCUGGGGCCCCGAAAGUUUACCUGGAGACCUACGGCUGCCAGAUGAACGUCAACGACACGGAGAUCGCCUGGGCCAUCCUGCAGAGGAAUGGCUAUGCCAGGACAAAGGAGCUGGAUGAGGCAGAUGUGGUUCUCCUUGUCACCUGUUCCGUGAGGGAGAAGGCAGAGCAGGCCAUCUGGAACCGGCUGCAGCACCUCAAGGCGCUGAAGGCCCGUCGGCAGCAGGCUCGUGCACCCCUGCGCAUCGGGAUCCUGGGAUGCAUGGCUGAGAGGCUUAAGGAGGAGAUUCUGCACAGGGAGAAGCUGGUCGAUGUCGUGGCAGGCCCUGAUGCCUAUCGCGACCUACCCCGGCUGCUGGCUGUGGCAGAGUCUGGCCAGCAAGCUGCCAAUGUCCUGCUGUCCCUAGAUGAGACUUAUGCAGACAUUCUGCCUGUCCAGACUAGUGCAGGUGGCACGACAGCGUUUGUGUCCAUCAUGCGGGGCUGUGACAACAUGUGCACCUAUUGCAUCGUGCCCUUCACCCGAGGCCGGGAAAGGAGCCGCCCCAUCGCAUCCAUCCUGCAGGAAGUGAGGAUGCUCUCGGAUCAGGGAGUGAAAGAAGUGACCCUCUUGGGUCAGAACGUCAACAGCUAUAGAGACCUGUCUGAGGUGCAGUUCCAGUCAGCAGCUGCCCCGGGCCUCAGCCGUGGCUUUAGCACAGUCUACAAAGCCAAACAGGGAGGUUUGCGCUUUGCACACCUGCUGGACCAGGUCUCUAGGAUUGAUCCAGAAAUGAGGAUCCGUUUCACCUCUCCACACCCCAAGGAUUUUCCUGAUGAGGUCCUGCAGCUCAUCCAGGAACGACACAACAUCUGCAAACAGCUGCACCUCCCAGCCCAGAGUGGGAGCACACGAGUGCUGGAGGCCAUGCGGCGAGGAUACACAAGAGAAGCGUAUUUAGAUCUUGUGCACCACGUGCGUGACUCCAUCCCAGGAGUGAGCUUAAGCAGCGAUUUCAUCGCUGGGUUCUGUGGGGAGACAGAGGAAGAUCACCAGCAGACCAUGUCCUUGCUGAGGGAAGUCCGCUACAACAUUGGCUUCCUGUUUGCCUACAGCAUGAGACAGAAGACCCGGGCGUAUCACCGGCUGCAGGACGAUGUGCCCGCGGACGUGAAGAGGCGGCGGCUGGAGGAGCUCAUCGCCGCCUUCCGAGAGGAGGCUGCCAGGGCCAACGUGGCGCUGGUGGGGCAGGACCAGCUGGUGCUGGUCGAGGGGCCCAGCAAGCGCUCUGCCUCGGAGCUGUGUGGGAGGAACGACGGCAACAUCAAGGUGAUCUUCCCUGAUGCCGAGCUGGAGGAUGCUGCGGACUGCGGGGCUCCGGGCAGAGCCCGGCCGGGGGACUACGUGGUGGUGAAGGUGACCUCUGCCAGCUCACAGACCCUGAGGGGAGUUCCACUCUGCCGGACAACCCUGUCCCGUGCUGCUGCCUGUCUCUGAGGGUCCCUGCUGCCCGUGGAUGGAAGCAGCACAUUUUCUCCAGGAAAAAACAAGAAAGUGUUGUCAGUUUUUAUAGGCCUCGGGAAUGAAGACUGAGGUUUUAAGGCAGCAAAGCAUCCAUUAGGAAGUGCUUACGGUGACCUUGGAGACUGAGUCA
Molecule: RNA transcript, 1844 nt
Organism: Lepidothrix coronata (blue-crowned manakin)
Lineage: Eukaryota; Metazoa; Chordata; Aves; Passeriformes; Pipridae
Gene: CDK5RAP1
Gene name: CDK5 regulatory subunit associated protein 1
Exons: 14
Source: RefSeq, a predicted model, not a curated record